This 253-nucleotide ribosomal RNA is filed under the name uncultured bacterium. RNAcentral's name for it is "partial 16S ribosomal RNA". It matches the Rfam family "Bacterial small subunit ribosomal RNA", at positions 524 to 776 of the family's 1533-position model. The record is from RNAcentral.
UACAGAGGUCUCAAGCGUUGUUCGGAUUCAUUGGGCGUAAAGGGUGCGUAGGCGGCGCGGUAAGUCGGGUGUGAAAUUUCGAGGCUUAACUUCGAAACUGCAUUCGAUACUGCCGUGCUUGAGGACUGGAGAGGAGACUGGAAUUUACGGUGUAGCGGUGAAAUGCGCAGAUAUCGGGAAGAACACCCGUGGCGAAGGCGGCUCUCUGGGACGGUACUGACGCUGAGACGCGAAAGCGUGGGGAGCGAACAGG